AAAUGAUGACACAAUGUGAUUUCGUGCUCAGUGCUCAGAAUGUCAAUAUGAAGAGAUUUAACCAAGCGCGGGUAAACAGCGGGAGUAACUAUGACUCUCUUAAGGUAGCCAAAUGCCUCGUCGUCCAAUUAGCGACGCGCAUGAAUGGAUUAAUGAGAUUCCCACUGUCCCUAAUUACUAUCUAGCGAAACCACAGCCAAGGGAACGGGCUUGGCAAAAUUAGCGGGGAAAGAAGACCCUGUUGAGCUUGACUUUAUUCAGAAUUUGUGAAAUGGUGCUCGAGGUAUAGAAUAGGUGGGAGUGUAACGAAAUUGAAAUACCACUACUUUUGACGUUGUUUUACUUAUUAAAUAAAAACUAAAAGAAUUAUAAUCUUGAUUCUAGAAUUAACGAAUAUUACAUGUUGACUCCAUGUGGGUUAACCUCUGAUUUGGGUAAGGUUUGUUUU
RNAcentral lists this ribosomal RNA (448 nucleotides) under uncultured eukaryote. RNAcentral describes it as "eukaryotic LSU rRNA". It matches the Rfam family "Eukaryotic large subunit ribosomal RNA", at positions 2176 to 2596 of the family's 3401-position model. The record is from RNAcentral.